UACGUAGGGUGCGAGCGUUAAUCGGAAUUACUGGGCGUAAAGCGUGCGCAGGCGGUUUUGUAAGCCAGAUGUGAAAUCCCCGGGCUUAACCUGGGAAUGGCAUUUGGGACUGCAAGGCUUGAGUGCGGCAGAGGAGACUGGAAUUCCUGGUGUAGCAGUGAAAUGCGUAGAUAUCAGGAGGAACACCAGUGGCGAAGGCGGCUUCCUGGCCUGUUCUUGACGCUGAGGCGCGAAAGCUAGGGGAGCAAACGGG
Molecule: ribosomal RNA, 253 nt
Filed under: uncultured bacterium
Lineage: Bacteria
Description: partial 16S ribosomal RNA
Rfam family: Bacterial small subunit ribosomal RNA
Source: RNAcentral